GCGGGAGUAGCGGGUGCAGAAAAUCCAGCGCUGCUGCGGUUGUCGUGCGAGCCUGCUUGGAUUUAUUUUUGUCCUAACUUAAAGCUGCAGAAGAAGAGGUCCCUAGACCUCUGAUUAAUCUUCAUCGUGCGUACCCUGUGGGGUCAAGCCUAGCUUCUGAGGCAUCUGCAAGAGACCCUGAAUAGGUGUCCCUGGGCUGAUGGUUCGUGUUCUGGACUCUGGAUGAUCCUCCUGUUGUACAGUGUUGAAUUGAUUUUCACCGAUAUAUUGGAUUUCAGACAUGCAACCAACUACUUUAUUUCUUAAAAGCAAGAUGGGAUCAUAAUAGAGAAGGUACAGAUGACCAAGAGGAAGAAGAAAAUUUGAAUGCACAAUUGUAUUAGAUAUUUUCUAUUAUGAAAUAUUUCAGGCAGCGAGAAGGUAGAGGUAACAAUGGAUACCUGUGUGCCUGCUACCUAGUUUAAGAAAUCUCAUGUCAUUUUACAUGUUACCAAUGCACUGAAGUCACAGGGCAUCCCCUACCCCAUCCCAUUUCCUUCCCUCCCUCCCAGAUGUGACCACCACUUUGAAUUUGAUGCCUGUUAAACAUAUGCAUGGCUUCUUGCUUUUUACCCAGAUGUAUAUAUUCCUAAAUAAUAUAUAAUGGAGUUUUGCAUGUUUGUACACAUUAUAUAUAUAUAUUCUGUAUAUCCCUCUGCAUUUCUGGGGCUCAGCAUUCUAUUUUAGAGAUUUAUAUUCAUAUUGAUACAUGUGAUUUUGGUUCAUUAAUUUUACAUUGCCAUAUAGUAUUCCAUUUACAAUUUAGUUCCCAUUUACCUAUUGAUGGUCAUAUGGAUA
Manis javanica (Malayan pangolin) is the source of this 837-nucleotide long non-coding RNA. RefSeq lists it as uncharacterized. The record is from RefSeq and is a predicted model, not a curated record. Lineage: Eukaryota; Metazoa; Chordata; Mammalia; Pholidota; Manidae.